This 750-nucleotide ribosomal RNA is filed under the name uncultured bacterium. Its description in RNAcentral is "bacterial SSU rRNA". It matches the Rfam family "Bacterial small subunit ribosomal RNA", at positions 43 to 783 of the family's 1533-position model. The record is from RNAcentral.
CAGGCCUAACACAUGCAAGUCGAGCGGACUUAUCCUUCGGGAUAGGUUAGCGGCGGACGGGUGAGUAACACGUAGGCAACCUGCCUGUAAGAUCGGGAUAACUACCGGAAACGGUAGCUAAGACCGGAUAGCUGGUUUCUCCGCAUGGGGGAAUCAUGAAACACGGGGCAACCUGUGGCUUACGGAUGGGCCUGCGGCGCAUUAGCUAGUUGGUGGGGUAAUGGCCCACCAAGGCGACGAUGCGUAGCCGACCUGAGAGGGUGAUCGGCCACACUGGGACUGAGACACGGCCCAGACUCCUACGGGAGGCAGCAGUAGGGAAUCUUCCGCAAUGGGCGCAAGCCUGACGGAGCAACGCCGCGUGAGUGAUGAAGGUUUUCGGAUCGUAAAGCUCUGUUGCCAAGGAAGAACGCCUCGGAGAGUAACUGCUCUGAGGGUGACGGUACUUGAGAAGAAAGCCCCGGCUAACUACGUGCCAGCAGCCGCGGUAAUACGUAGGGGGCAAGCGUUGUCCGGAAUUAUUGGGCGUAAAGCGCGCGCAGGCGGUCUUUUAAGUUUGGUGUUUAAGCCCGGGGCUCAACCCCGGUUCGCACUGAAAACUGGGAGACUUGAGUGCAGGAGAGGAAAGCGGAAUUCCACGUGUAGCGGUGAAAUGCGUAGAGAUGUGGAGGAACACCAGUGGCGAAGGCGGCUUUCUGGACUGUAACUGACGCUGAGGCGCGAAAGCGUGGGGAGCAAACAGGAUUAGAU